CAAACAGGAUUAGAUACCCUGGUAGUCCACGCCGUAAACGAUGUCGACUUGGAGGUUGUGCCCUUGAGGCGUGGCUUCCGGAGCUAACGCGUUAAGUCGACCGCCUGGGGAGUACGGCCGCAAGGUUAAAACUCAAAUGAAUUGACGGGGGCCCGCACAAGCGGUGGAGCAUGUGGUUUAAUUCGAUGCAACGCGAAGAACCUUACCUGGUCUUGACAUCCACGGAAGUUUUCAGAGAUGAGAAUGUGCCUUCGGGAACCGUGAGACAGGUGCUGCAUGGCUGUCGUCAGCUCGUGUUGUGAAAUGUUGGGUUAAGUCCCGCAACGAGCGCAACCCUUAUCCUUUGUUGCCAGCGGUCCGGCCGGGAACUCAAAGGAGACUGCCAGUGAUAAACUGGAGGAAGGUGGGGAUGACGUCAAGUCAUCAUGGCCCUUACGACCAGGGCUACACACGUGCUACAAUGGCGCAUACAAAGAGAAGCGACCUCGCGAGAGCAAGCGGACCUCAUAAAGUGCGUCGUAGUCCGGAUUGGAGUCUGCAACUCGACUCCAUGAAGUCGGAAUCGCUAGUAAUCGUGGAUCAGAAUGCCACGGUGAAUACGUUCCCGGGCCUUGUACACACCGCCCGUCACACCAUGGGAGUGGGUUGCAAAAGAAGUAGGUAGCUUAACCUUCGGGAGGGCGCUUACCACUUUGUGAUUCAUGACUGGGGUGAAGUCGUAACAAGGUAACCGUA
RNAcentral lists this ribosomal RNA (735 nucleotides) under Escherichia sp. enrichment culture clone SRC_NBA8. Its description in RNAcentral is "bacterial SSU rRNA". It matches the Rfam family "Bacterial small subunit ribosomal RNA", at positions 769 to 1504 of the family's 1533-position model. Lineage: Bacteria; Pseudomonadati; Pseudomonadota; Gammaproteobacteria; Enterobacterales; Enterobacteriaceae. The record is from RNAcentral.